CCCCUCUUUCGGACUCGAAUUUAAUUCUAACGCUAACCCCGACUUGUAGUUGUGCUUAAAGUUUGUAAAUUUCAGAUUCGCCCUAUUCACCCCCCUCUAUGCGACUUUCACUCUCUACCAAGAAAGGCCUCAACUCUAGCCCUCCAACCUUCAGAAUCACAUUGGCCUGUAACUGCUCUGCCAGUAACAUCGAGUCCAAGUAUCUUCUGUGUAUCCUCUAAUGUGACUGUCAUCUCACCAAAAGGAAGAUGAAAACUAUGUGUCUC
This 266-nucleotide long non-coding RNA is filed under the name Zea mays. RNAcentral's name for it is "drought responsive lncRNA". Lineage: Eukaryota; Viridiplantae; Streptophyta; Magnoliopsida; Poales; Poaceae. The record is from RNAcentral.